RNAcentral lists this ribosomal RNA (497 nucleotides) under uncultured bacterium. Its description in RNAcentral is "bacterial SSU rRNA". It matches the Rfam family "Bacterial small subunit ribosomal RNA", at positions 29 to 518 of the family's 1533-position model. The record is from RNAcentral.
AUGAACGCUAGCGACAGGCUUAACACAUGCAAGUCGAGGGGUAACAGGGUAGCAAUACCGCUGACGACCGGCGCACGGGUGAGUAACGCGUAUGCAACCUGCCUAUAACUGGGGAAUAGCUCCCUGAAAGGGGAAUUAACACCGCAUAACACUAUUGAUUCGCAUGGAUUAGUAGUUAAAUGUAGCGAUACAGGUUAUAGAUGGGCAUGCGUGACAUUAGCUAGUUGGUGAGGUAACGGCUCACCAAGGCUACGAUGUCUAGGGGUUCUGAGAGGAAGGUCCCCACACUGGUACUGAGACACGGACCAGACUCCUACGGGAGGCAGCAGUGAGGAAUAUUGGUCAAUGGGCGCAAGCCUGAACCAGCCAUGUCGCGUGCAGGAAGACUGCCCCCUAUGGGUUGUAAACUGCUUUUAUAGUAGAAGAAACACAUCUACGAGUAGAUGUCUGCCAGUAUACUAUGAAUAAGCAUCGGCUAACUCCGUGCCAGCAGCUGC